This 561-nucleotide long non-coding RNA is filed under the name Marmota monax (woodchuck). Lineage: Eukaryota; Metazoa; Chordata; Mammalia; Rodentia; Sciuridae. The record is from RNAcentral.
GCAGUAUGAGUAGGAGUUGGUUAUUUCUGCUUCAAUCUUGAAAAAUCUCUCAUCAGGAGGAUGUUUAAGAGAAUAGAGUUGAUGAGAUCUUAAGUGGUCAUCUACUUUAUUCUCCUGCUUUCCAAUGGCACCAACUAUGCAAAUUAAAUUUCAUUCAGUAAUUCUUGCAUGUUCUGGAUCUAUGCUAGGGGACAGGGAUGUAAAGAGACUUUCAACCUCAGGAGCCCAAACAGUAACAACAGAUAGGGGAGGUAGACCAGUAACAGAUUAGAGAAAACAUCAAGCAGAAGGAUGCGUGAGCUCAGAAGGGCCCAUGGAAGGAUCUUUCAAUUGAGUAUAGUGACUUGAAUGUGAAUAUUCACCUCUGCUCACUCUUUAACCCACAUUAAAAUGAAUGUGAAGGAAUAAAAUAAAUAUGCACAAACCCAAAAGGACAAAGAGAAUUGCGGGAGACUACAAUGAGUGGGAACCUUCACUGAAUCUGGUAGGGUGGAAAAUACAGGAAGUAGAGGAAUAUGACUAGCAAGUGCCUGCAGAGACCCUCUGGGUCAAAGAACUGGC